RNAcentral lists this transfer RNA (64 nucleotides) under Papilio bootes janaka. Its description in RNAcentral is "tRNA-Arg". Lineage: Eukaryota; Metazoa; Arthropoda; Insecta; Lepidoptera; Papilionidae. The record is from RNAcentral.
AAAUAUGAAGCAAUAUUAUGCAUUUAAUUUCGACUUAAAAGAAAGAGUUUUUACUCCAUAUUUU